UCGACUGUUUAUCAAAAACAUAUUUAAUAGGAAUAAUUAUUAAUACAACCUGCUCAAUGAAACAUAAAUAGCCGCAGUUCAACUGUGCUAAGGUAGCAUAAUCAUUUGUCUUUUAAUUAAAGACUAGUAUGAAAGGUAUUACAUUUAAAUUAUUAUCUUAACACUUCAAUUUAAAUUUAUUCUAAAUGUAAAAAAACAUUUAUUAAUUAGAAAGACGAUAAGACCCUAUUGAACUUAACUUAAGUUUAACUGGGGCAGUUAAAUAAACACCAUUUUAUUUUAAAUCACAUUAAAAAUGACCUAAUCAAAUUAAUUUCAUGAUCAAGUUACCAUAGGGAUAACAGCGUAAUAUUUUUCAUUAGAUCUUAUAUAAAAAAAUGAUUACGACCUCGAUGUUGAAUUAAUUAAUCUAAUACACGCAAAAGUUUAAUAAGAAAGUCUGUUCGACUUUUAAACAAUCACAUGAUUUGAGUUCAGACCGGUGUGAACCAGGUCGG
RNAcentral lists this ribosomal RNA (497 nucleotides) under Heteropoda davidbowie. Its description in RNAcentral is "partial 16S ribosomal RNA". It matches the Rfam family "Bacterial large subunit ribosomal RNA", at positions 1796 to 2634 of the family's 2925-position model. The record is from RNAcentral. Lineage: Eukaryota; Metazoa; Arthropoda; Arachnida; Araneae; Sparassidae.